UAUGAACUAGCGAGAGAACGUAGAGGACGUUAUAUGCUUGUGUUGAGCAAAAUACAGAGCUUGCAUCCAUGGCCAGCCUCGAUCCCACGGGUGUGCUGGGAGCGCUUGUUUCUGAAGCUGUCAGAGAAGUGAUUGGGCUUGCCAAGUCUGCCAUUCAUUGCAAGAAGAAGUGCAGGGAGUUGGAAGAUUCAUUGACCAAAGCAUCAGAUCUGCUAGGUGAAAUGAAUUCUGCUGCCGAGGGCUCUCUGAGCUCCUCACAACUGGAUUCCUGGCUGAAAGCCCUCCAAGCCAAGGUUGAAGAGGCUAAACCUCUUGUUCUUGAAUGUCAGUCUCUGCAAAAUCCCAUUCUAGAUGGCCGAAAGAGGUAGUUUGGUUGUGCUUCUCUUGGGAUAUUUCUGAAUUUCUGAAUUGAGUUUGUGAUUUUGUUUCAGGAUACAGCUUGCUACCAAGAUCGAACACUGUUCCAAGGCGAUCCAUGGGCACUUGGCUGCAGCUUCUCUACAUCUUGGCGUUGAGAUUCUGAAGAACAUUGAUACAUUGAAGAAGCACAAUGAGGUCCCGUCUAAUGUCGUUCCAAAGGAAGAACAGCAUGUUGUUCCUCUGGAUAAGCACAUUUUCGGUAUGGAAGAGACGCUGGAGCGGGUUGUAUCAGACUUGCUGGAGUCCCCUAUAAGCAGGAAGUGGGUUGGAGUCCAUGGAGCAGGAGGUGCUGGAAAAACACUCCUGGCCAAACGAGUAUGUGACAACGAUCAAGUCAAGGGGCGUUUCGAUCCAGUUUUGUGGCUAACAUUCGGUCAGUCGGUUCAGGUACAUUCCUUAAGCUUAUAAUGCAACAUAUUGAGCGGCUAUGGUUGGAUCUCCUCAGGUGGAAGCAAAGCAAGACGAACUUGCCAAAAAAAUCCAACUAGAAGGCGAUAAGAUCAGCAAUGAAGCACUGAGGAGGGGGCUUGUUGGGAAGAGAUGCUUGCUAGUGUUGGAUGAUGUCUGGAAGUUCAACGAUGUGAAUCUCUUUGAUGUGGUGCAAGAGAAUGGAAGCAAGAUCUUCAUUACCACUCGAAAACAUGAUGUGCUUGACAGUAGAGGUGCAAUCAAAACCGAGAUGGGGCUCUUGGGAAAGGAAGACAGCAUGAAGUUGUUCGCAGUCCACGCAUUCCCAAACCAAAAUCACGCUCAAGUCAGCAAGGCAGUGGUGGAGCAAGUUGUGGAAAAGUGUGGGGGGCUUCCACUGGUCUUGGAGGUAAUUGGCAGGAGAAUGGCAGCCACACAAGAUUGGGACUACGUUCUGAGCAAACUCAAGGAUCAGCAAGUUAUUGCUCUUGAUGAGGAAGAACAGGUACUGCAGCGACUCAAGCUGGGUUACGAUGCAUUAUUGCCUCUUCGCAUCCAGCAGCACUUUCUCUUCUUUGCUGCAUUUCCAGAAGACUGGCCGAUUCGAUUUUGGGAGCUGUUCAGGUGUUGGAAAGGGGAAGGGCUGGUUGCCAACACAGCAGAGGCCAAGAAUGUUUUAGAAAGGCUCAAGAAUCACGCACUUAUCACUGAAGAAGGAAAAGACCGGCCAGGGGAGAAUAAGAGGUACAGGAUUCACAAUGCGAAAGCAGAAAGCUAUUUGGGAAAUAGGAGGUACAGGAUUCACGAUGCGUUGCUGGCUCUUGCUUUGCACAUCCUGGAACAAGAAGGCCCCAAGUGUUAUUUCAAGGCUGGGCAGUCGCAGAUGAGGGAUGUGGGGGACGCCUUCACGAGUAACUACAGCAGGAUUUCACUGUUUGAGUGUGGAAUUUCGGAAAUCCCUCUGCCUAAGAAGAACAGGGUCAAAGUUUCCAGCACCACUUGCCUGCUCUUGGAUUAUAAUCUCGAUCUCACUGCAUUGCCAAGCCUCUCUCUUUUCAAAGGCUUGAAGGUUUUGUGCCUGAGUCACACUGAGGUGGUAAGUCUGCCACAUAGCAUUGGACAGCUCAAGACUCUGGAGACUCUGGAUUUGUCUUGGAAUGCUUCACUCAAAAGCAUCCCAGAUUCACUGGGCAACUUGGCGAAUUUAUCAUAUUUGAAUUUGCAAGACUGUCCGAAACUCAAGUCUUUCCCUGUGGAUGCUUUGCUCAAACUCACCAAGCUGGUCUACUUAAACGGAGGUGCAUGUUUUACAAUGUGGACAUGCCACAGGCUGCAUCAUCGGUUUUUGAAACAUCUGAAAUGCGUAAACAGAAGGCUUGGAAGGGAUGGGAUGUUUCAAGCAUUGACAGAGUUGGAGGUGUUGAUUAUCAAAGCACAUUUGGGUAUUGGCGUGCCCACCAUUUCUCAACUGGCAUCACUCAAGGUCCUCAACAUCGACACCUGUCCCUCCUUGAAGGACCUCUCCAUCUCGUUCCUUCCAAAGCUAGAGACAUUUACUCUAGGUUUCUGCGACGAAGUGACCACCAUCAACAUAUCCGAGUGCCCAUCACUGAGAGUUGUUCAUAUCGAGUACAUUCACAGGCUUGCCCGUGUUGCAUUCGGUGGCAAGUUCCCACGACUUGAAGAAAUAAUCCUUGAAGGACUUCAACAGCUGUCAGAUGUCUCUUUAGGUGCCGUGGAUGCCUUCCCACAGCUGAUGCAGCUGCAAAUACAAGGCUGUUGUAUUGACCAAUUACCAGAAUGGUUCGCUUCACUCACAACAUUGAGAACUCUGAGAUUAAUUUUUUUGGGGAAGUUGGAUGUGAUACCCGAUGGUGUUGCAAGGCUUCCUCUGCUAAGAAGGCUUGAUCUGCAAGGUUGCGAGAAGAUCCGCGUGUUACCCUUUGCAGAUUCUGAGGACAGCUCCUUCUAUCCAUCCCUGAAGUACUUACGCUUAUGCAACACAUCCGUCUCUCGAAAGCACCUCUCGCAACGCCUUCGAAAAAUUGCAGAGUUACGUUUUUUAGAAGAUGAGGACCUCUGCAAUAACCAAAUCUCAAAUUAACGAAGCUUUGGAACAACAUUGUGCAAACCUGCGAAGGGUAACAAUCUGCAAAGAGUCCAUCUUUCAUGAUCAGUGUCAUGUUGGCAGUACUCCAGUUCAACCUGGAAAACGAACACACAGAAUCAUAGUAAACCUCGUUUUACCUCGAGCAAACAAACCAGCACCCCAUCUUAAGAGUGCUCCACCGGGAAAGAAGAGCAUCUCGCCCGCGAUCUGACGAAGCCGAGCGUGGUAUUCCCCGAGGAAUCCACCGCUGCGCGGCCUGGCGGCUGCUGCUGGUGGAUGCUGUUGGCGAUAUCCACGCAGGUGUUCCAGAUCCGGUACCUCAGCUUCCACAUUUGCAGCCGCUGCUCCUCGGAGAGCUCGGAUUUGAGGCCAAGCACGCAUUCUUGGAGCUCGGAGAAGUCUGCUCGAUGUCGCAAACGAGGCGCUCGAUUCUCCGCAGCGGAUUCACAUUAGCCUCAUCGCCGAUCCCUGGAUCACCAAGUACCUCCGAGAUGAGCAUCGUGAGACGCUCGUCCUCCCGCGCCAUAAACCCUAACCUUUUCCUCUUUGUUAACCGAUCGGUGCGCCAGCAAUGGAGGCGCGGAAGGUAUGGAAUCUCUCGUAGUUGCCGCUUCACAGCGUUAGCUUCCAGUCUUAGCACUGUUGAGCUUGAGCAAGAUUUUCCGCGAGAGGUACGUUCGCUACACGCGACUAGAGUGAGUGGUGCGUGCUUGAGUCUUCUUUCCGUCCGUUUUUAAUGGUUUCGCUUAAAAAAUUCCUGGUUGUCUGGAGGAAUCUCUGAUAAUGGGUCCUUCUGGUGAAGCAGCUCGAGAGGACGGAUCCAGAGAGCUCCCUCGGCGUCAUGUCGACGACGAAAUUCCCAAAUCGUCUUCGCCAACGAUACGCUACCUUCUCAAGAGGAGUGGGUAUCGACAUGCUCUUUUCAGUGGCAUCGUCACACUCAUCAUGGGAGGGUUGGUUUUUUCCUUCAUUUGAUCUUUUUUCUUCGGGUUGCAGAGCGGUCCUUCUCAAAUGCAUUCACUGCCACAGGAAUUGUCUGCGGCUUCCUGAUAAUGCUCGUUGUGGCCUCGGCAGAUACUUACACUUGUGAUCAGCUUCUCAGACAAGCUUAUUCUCGAUUAUGAGUCUCUUGCUUUCCACAUUGGUGGGAAGUGGUGGAAGGUUCUCUCUCUCUUUUUUGUUUUUGUUUUCUUUUUUUGAAGUUUCUAAAAGCUUUCUCUCUUUUCUUUUUUUUCACAGCUUGCUACCGAAAUUAGCAUAGUGGUUCUGCCCAUUGGGACCAUUAUAGGCAGCAUUCAGGAAGUCAGUGAAGCUGCUGUCAUCGGCAUUGAAAACAUCACUUCCAAUGUUAACAGGUAACAGGCGUGUGCUUAUGAUCCUGUCUGUCGUCUUCAUUGUCGCUCCAUUUUGCCUGGUGGAAAAACUGAAACAGGUAUAAUUUUCCAAACAGGUGGUGCUUCGUGCUUUUGUUAUUGCCGUUGCGUUGCAGCCCUAACCACACUGUAAAACGUCAACAAAUGUAAGCAACAGUUACAUUUCCUUGCUGACAUUGUUUUCUAUUUUCUUUACUCUCGAGCUCUCGGAAUCACUGGAAUCCAUUCUUGAUGGCUAGAGUCAUGUUGAUACUGUAACGGGGCUCUGUGUCUGAUGCCAUCUCGAACUUAAACUCUGGCAACAGAGCAGCUACCAGAGACUUCAUUUGCAGCGUAGCCAUAGACAGGUCUGUAUCUCACCACCAUCUCUCAUCGCCAUCUCGCCAAGACCGAGGAUCAAACUCGGUGUUUAUGUGUGUGACUUAACUGAUGCCUUCUGUUUUGCUUUCCAGGCUGUCUGCCAAACCAGCCGAGAGGGCCGAGACGUCGUCAAAGUCGUCCGCGAAAGACAUAUCGCCGCGCUCGAGAAGCCCGUCACCGGCCCGUCCCGUGACGCCUCCCAGGGCCUCGCCUCCCAGGCUCGUCGACGAGCUCAAGCUCCAGCUAGAAAAGGGGGAGAUGCUCAAGAGAACCAUCCCGGCAAAUGCUGGAUCAGCAGCAGCAGCAGCACCGAGGCAGUGGAUUGGUGUGUAGAGGCGGUGGAGAUGAUUCGCAGUGCCAAGUUUUAAAGGUUUUGGACUGUGGAAGGCAGCAGCAGCAAGCUAAGAACAGGCCAAACUCACAGACACACACACACACACACAGACACUCUCCUCUUUACCAAGUGAGAAAACAAAGAGAGUAUAGCUUAUAUGUGAUACUUAUAACUCUUCCAAAAUUUCUCUCUCUUUCUAUAGUUUUUUUCUCAUCUGGAGAGCAUUUUCGCUUGAUGGAAAGUUGAUCACAAACAAUGCCCUCGGAAAGAUUGUGGAGGGUUGUUUUGUAUAGAACAGACAAAAGCAAAGAAAAAUACUGUGAUUAAAACUCUUUGAACGUGACUACUAAGAAUUUCUCUCUAGUUUAAGGCUGUGUCCCAAAGACGGCACAUUUAGACUGGCGCUUUCUCUGAGGGGGCGGGGGUGGACAAAAGUAGGGGCGUGAGUGCAUGGAAGCUUCGCGGUUUGGUUGCCUAAAGUCGAGUUGCCACACUAGGAAUCAGUGUUAUGCGUUGCUACCUACAAGAGCCAGCCAACGAAGAAGAAGAGAAGAAGAUUGGGUUUGAGUGGCCUAGCCCACUCAAACUAGAACACGCACAUACUCUCUUUUGCUAUUGGUCCACCACCAAAUUUUGCACUUGUACACAAACAUCAGGUACAUAAGUAUGUUGUUUAAUUUUAUUAACAAGGAAAGACACUAAGAAAUGUGAUCAAGAUAUAUCAAAUUAUCUUAAUAUUUCCAAUCUCAAAAAUAUCAAGCUUUUUCACAGCACUUUUCUGAAAAUAUCUGCAAAGAAAUGUAAUAAAUUUUAUUAAAACAAAACUAAAUAAUCUGACUAAUAUUUGUGUUCAUAUUGCAUUAUUCUUCAAAAUCAUGAUAUUGUGAGACAUUAGAUUCAACAAUUAUAUAAUAUAGCUUACAGAUAAUUCUUUGUUUUUGCACUUUUACCAAGUAAAUGUGAUUGUAAAGAGAAAGAAAAUUAGUUAAAAUAUUAAAAAUUAACUCUUGAACCAUACUUAUUUAGGCUGAAAAAAAUAUUUACUCCAGAAUCUUUUUACUUCUAAUAGAUUAUAUUAUUUUGAAGUUAUAGUUUUUAUUUUUUGAAAAAUAUUGUACUAAAUAUAAAAGUGAAGUAUAAUUUUGUUAAUUCCUUACUUUGAAAAAUAAAGAACCCAAAUAUUAAACUUAAUUUUAAAAUAAAAGGAGGUAAUAACACAAAUGUAUCUUUUUUAUUAUGUUUAUAUCAUAUUUUGUUAUCUUUAUAAUAAUUACAACCAUCUUCACUAAUAAAAUAGUAUUAUGAGUUUUAGAUUACAAAUUUAAAUAUUUACAAAUUAAGGUAUUAAUCUUGAGAAAACUUUAACUUUAUUGUUUCCUCUCCAAGGGUUUACUAUGUAGCAUGCAAAAAUAUCAUUAUUUCUUUUUUUGUUAUGUAAUAUAGCACAUAAAAUAUAAUUAAAUAUAUAAUUUUCCCCAAAAGGCAAAUCAAUGGUUAUUUAUAUGUUUAUUAACUGCCAAAAUAAAUGCACCAUGUUUGUGCUUAACUCAAAAAAUGUAUAUUUGAGUGUAAAAAAUAUUAAAUAACAAUAAUUAAAAUUUUAAAAAAAGGCUUUAUAAAACACAAAUGAAAAAUAAAGUUCAGAAUAAUUUAUUAAAGUGUUCUAAGGAAGAAAAAAAAUUUACACUACACUAAAUUUGUAUAAUUUUAAUUUAUAAUUAUUCUUAACUUUUAAUUUUGGCAAAAUUUAACUUUUACUUAUUUAAAAAGAUAAAAUAUAAUUAAGUUUCAAAUCAUGUUAAAAAGUUUACCCUAACAAACAGAACUUUAGGUUUAGUGGUGAUGGACGAGGCUUCUACAAGUGUGGGAAUCAGUCCGGUAGGGAAUGUGGGCUUGGAUCCAGCUUACCCUUGUCUUGUCCUUUUACAGGAUUACUACAUCGAAGUUAAAUAUUCCAUUUGGACUUAUUAUGUUCGUCCUCACUCCACAAUCCAUGUCAUUCAUCUUUGCUCCACUAUUAUAUUUGUUUAUCCUGACUUUAUCAUUAGGGCUAGACUCCCAUCUGUCCUUUCUACCCCCUCCAAAGAAAAAAAAAGUUUGAAGUGUCAGGGCAGAAAUGAGAAACUGAAAAAAAUUAAAGACAAAUAAUUGUGGAAGAAGAAAAAAUGGAUAAAGAAGUAUCAAAAGAGGAAUUUAUAGUAGUUGGCAAUAUAGAAAUAAAAAAAUCAAAAGAAUGACAUGUGCUCAAAGUUUAGAAAAUAAGGGACUUCCUAUCAUAAAAUACUUCAGCCACCACAAUAUAAGUAAAAGAUUCACACAUAUCAACUUCUUCAACAUAUAACAAAACUUUUGAGAUGGGAAAAUUAAUAAAAAUGUCUAUACUCUCAAUAAAACACAUAAACUCCUUAGCACAAACAAUAAAAUAAAGACUCUCAAUGGCACUCAUAAUUAGGGAUAUGCAUUGAACUUGAGAUUUUGACCAAAGUGAUUCAACCCUUGGAAUUGGGGAAUACUCAAUAUCAAAAUUGAUUAAAGUCUUUUUAAAUAAAGAAAAAGUAAGAUUUUCAACUUCAUGCACAUACUUAACAUCCAGAUUAAUAUGAAGAGGACAUAACACUCAACUCAACAUUGAAUUGAGAAUGAAAAUCAUGAGAGUCACAAAUGAUCAAUGUGCCAAGAGAAGAAAACAUUGCAAAUGAGGAAGAAAUACUAAAAACAUGAAAAGGUGGCUUAUGCUGAGAAAUUAAAAAAAUAUUGGGAAAUAACAAAAGGUAAAUAGAAAGGAUCAAGUGGUAGAUUGUAAGAUUGACAUUUAUCCCAUGAAAUCUUCAUUUCAUCUCCAAAGUUAUCUCUAUAAUAAUCAAGCUCGUUAUCACAAUCUGAAAUCCACUUGAGUUCGUACAUAUCAUUUUUCUAUAAACUUGAUCCUUGAACAUUCUCCAAGAAUUGGAUUGUAUCAUUCAUAGUUCGUUAAUCAAUGUCAACAUCACACUCCACAUCAACAGAAAAUAGUAAAACACCAAAAAGAAAACAAAUUAUGUAAUCAUGUUCUAUGAAAGUUAAAGACAACAACACACCAAAAAUAUGCAUAAUACCAACAUGAGCACACCCCACAACACCAAAAGUUCGAUCUAAUGGAGUAGCAUUAAUAACUUUAAGUGAUAUACUCUUUGAUUGAUGACUACAUGGUAUGGUAGAAGAAAAGAAUACAAUGAAAAUUAUAAGAAAGAGUAGAUCUAAGCAUAGACAUAACUAAAGUUCUAGAUCUUACAAAAAAUUAUUACAUAUCUAGAUUUCAAAAAGAAUGAAGAAAUAAAAACAAAAAGCACAAUCCUAAACACUAGAGCAAAGCACUUCUAAAAAACUUUGCCCAUCAGGGACAAAUUGCAAUAUCCCUCAACUGCACUAAUAUAAGUGCUCAAGAUAUAAGAAUGGUUAUAUUAAUUGGGGUUUAGAUUUUUAUUUAAAUACAAGAAUGGAUGGACUAUAUUUAGUUCUGAAUGAAUGGUCGAUAAGUUAGGGAAAUACAUAUAUAUACAUAUAUAUAUUUACAAACCUUACAGAUUAAAGUAUAAAAUAUUAUAAAUUGGUGGUAUUAUGUUGCUUUUGUUACCUUUAUAUAAUUACAACCAUCUUCAAUAAUAAAAAGUGUUAUGAAUAUCAAAUUACAAAUUUAAAUAGUUACAAUUUAAGUUCCUAGUUUUGACCAAGCUUUAAUUUUAUUGUUUUCUCUCUAAGGGUUAUAUAUAUAUAGUAUGCAACCUAAAAAAUAUUAUUAUUUCAAAUUUUUAUUAUGUGGUAUACCACAUCAAAUAUAAUUAAAUAUAUUAUUUGCUUCAAAGAGUAAGUCAAAGGUUGUAUAUAUACUUGUUCACUGCCAUACCAUAUUUAUAUUGAAUUUAAAAUAUGUAUAUUUGAGCUGAAAAAAAAUUCAAUGAGAAUAAUAAAAAUUUCAAAAAAUAAAAUGUUUUAUAAAAUUACAAUACAAUUUUAAAUAUUUAUACAAUUUUAAAUAUUCUAUUAAAGUGUUCUUAAGAAGAAAAAACUAAUUUAACACUAUUCUAAAUUUGUAUGUUGUUACUCCUAACAAAAUAAUCUGUAUUAUUUAAAUUUUGUAAAUUUAUAGAUAUUCUUAACUUUUAAUUUUUUGCUUUAAAUGGAAAAUUUUAAAGUAAAUAAAUUUUCCUUAUUUUUAAAAAGUUAAACAAAAUAAAUUUUAAAUCAUGUUAAAAACUUUACCCUAACAAACUAAACUUUAGGUUUAAUGGUGAUGGAUGAAGCUUCUAGAAGUGUAGGAAUCAGUCCGGUAGGAAAUGUGAGCUUGGAUCCAGCUUACCCUUGUCUUGUCCUCUCACAAGAUCUAAUUCACGAGAUUUUCAAGAGCCUUUGGGAGAAGGCCAGCCAGGGUUUGCUCUUCCUCUCUCUCUCUUUUGUCUGAGCUCCACAACAGAUGUUGCCCAGGCGGAUGAAUCCAACGUAGGCGCAACCUCGAAAAGAACCAAGUCCAAAGCAGAGCUUUCUAAAGAUCAUAGAGAAAUGCAGCCAGUUUCGUUUCCGUUUUGCAGCAAAUGCGAAUGCUCUGUGAGUUGCUCAAGCUCUUCGUCAGAGGUCGGGUUUACUCUAUUUCGUUUCAAAGAAGGAACUAGAACCAAAACUUCUGGGCUGAUUGAUGCAGAGGCAGUCGGGCGAGUGGGAAUCAUUGCAGAGGCCGAGGGAAAGGAUCGCAUCGAAGCAACACAUUUCGAAAGAAUGCUACCGCAGUUUUUGCUGGACUUCUAGCUAGAGACGAAGAUGGUGCUCGCGGGAAGAACUCUAGCAGCGGUAUGAGAAGGCUGGCCAGAGGACUCGCUACAGACUGUGCAAGCAAACAGCUAAACUUGAGAGAGUACCUCGAUUCGAAGCUAUGCUCCUCCGAUGUCUCCACUCUGGCUCGUCUCAUCCGCGAGUGUGGUUCUCUGGAAAGCCUGUUAGAUGCACAAAAGAUUCACAGUCACAUUGUAGAGUCUGGCUUUCAGGAAAGCUUUUACCUGCGUGAGCGCCUCGUCCACAUGUAGCUCAAGUGUGGCAGUGUAGAGAACGCCGAGGACGUCUUCUUGGACAGGAACAGGAUGGCUCACUUCCGAGACGUCACGACGUGGACGGCGAUGUUGUCCGCAUACUCUCGUCAAUCCAGCAGCACCACCAAGGUGCUCGAGUUCUACUGCCAGAUGCUCCAGCACGGUGUCAAGCCCGACAGCUUCACUUUCACUGCCGUGUUGAAAGCCUGUGUUUCUGCGAGGAGAGCGUUGAGUGGCGGGAAGGCGAUCCACUCCCAGAUCUUAGAGAGCGGGCUAGAGGACAACGAGAUCAUCGGAACUUCGGUCGUGAGCAUGUAUGGGAAGUGCAGCAGCCUGGUCGAUGCUCGAGCCUGGUUUGAUGGAGUUUGUGUCUGAUGUCCGCAUGGAGUGAUGUUGUGGAACGCCAUGAUCUCGGCUUACGUCCAGAACGGCUGCUGUGGACAGUCCUUGGAGCUCUUCAUGCUGAUGCUCUUGGAAGGUGUCGCUCCAAACAGUGUCACGUAUGUCACGGUUCUCAAUGCUUGCAGCUCUACAUUGACGCUGGGUAUUGGCACGGCGGUUCACAUCUGUGUUUGCGAUCUCGGCCUCGAGUCGGACGUCCUCAUUGAGCGGGAAGAGCGGGAAGCUGGACGAAGCCCGGAAGAUCUUUGAAAGGAUCGAAGCUCCGGACUUGGUGUCGUGGAACUCGAUGAUAUCAGCUCUUGUCCGGGACCGCCAAGGAGACGGUGCUCGGACGUUGUUCAAGCAGCUGCUUCUGGAAGGCGUCACUCCAAAUGAGAUCACUCUCAUCUCUACUAUCAAAGCCUGUGCUUGUCCGGAAGAUUUGACGGAAGGAAAGCUGAUCCACGCCUGCAGCUGUGAAAGUGGCCGGGCCUCAGUACUCUUCGUGAGGAAUGCUCUCGUAGUCAUGUAUGGAAAAUGCGGCUGUCUAGAGAAAGCUCGCGAACUGUUUGAAUCUGAAACAUUGGAGAGGAACUUAGUCAGUUGGAGCGUCAUGGUUGCGGCUUAUGCAGAAAACGGUCAUGGUCACGAGGCCCCCUGCAGCUCUUCAGGAUGAUGAUUCUGGAGGGUCAAAGCCUCGACUCAGUCGUCUUUGUCAACGUCCUCAAUGCUUGUUCUUCGGCAGGAAACGCUAAGUUGCUGCUGCGGGAGAAGCUCUUCACGGCAACUUAGUUGAGGCUGGAUUCGAAUCGGACGUAGUAGCGGCAACGGUACUCGCGAACAUGUCUAUCAAGUAUGGACGUUUGGAAGACGGGCGACGUGUUUUCGACAGAAUGGAGGCCCGGACGCUGUCAGCUGGAACACCAUGAUCUCGGGCUAUGCUCAGAACGGUCGUCCCAAAGAAGCCUUGGAACUCUUCCGCCAAUGGAUCCCGGAGUUGCUGACAAACGGACGUAUGUAGCAGCAUUGGAUGCUUGCGCCUGCUCAGUGGCUGCAACCGAAGGAAACUUAUACACCAGCGAAUACUUCAGCAGAAGAUGAGCGUCGACGUAAUCCUGGGAACAGCCAUUGUCAACAUGUAUGGAAAAUGUGAUUGCUUGAGCGAAGCCGAGGAGUUCUUUGACAGUAUACCUCUUCCCGACGUCGUCACUCGCAAUGCCAUGAUAGCUGGUUAUGCUCAGCACGGUCACCUCGGCAAAGCUCUUGGUCUGUUCGCCAAAAUGAAGCAGGAGGGAGUGAGACCCGAUGGUGCCACCUUUCUUAGUGUUCUGUGUGCUUGUAGCCAUGCUGGUAACUUGAAAAAAAGAUCCGAGUUCUUCAUAUCAAUGCUGGUCGAUUACGAGGUUAAGAUUUCUGUUGAGCACUGUGGUUGCAUGCUGGAUCUGCUGAGCCGGUCAGGAAUGCUGCGUGAAGCAGAGGAUCUCCUAAAAAAGUAUCCGACUUCAGCCAGAGAUGCCGAGUGGAUAACGUUGCUGGCCGCGUCUAUGACUCAAAGUGAUGCAACCGUGGCUCAAAACGCAGGAGAGGGCCUUAUGAACUGCCGCCCCGAGAGCUCUUUCCCAUACGUCGUGCUUUCCACUGCUUUGAGCAUUGAUGAGGAGGCUGCCUGAGAACUAGAGCUAUAGCGUGUAAAAUUCAACACACCUGAAUCGAAAAAUUGCCUGCAGAAAAAAAAAGUUUGUGAUGAAGCAAUGUAAAAUAGUAAGCCUACCCAUUGAGGCACAUGCUAAAAGUUUUCACACACGUUUCUCUCAUCAGCUCGUGAACUUGGUCAAAAGAUUGCCUUGCGUCCACAAACUUGACGACAAAAGAAAAGUCUCCGUCUUUUACCCUGCAGACCUUUGUACUGUAAGGCAACUUUUUUCUGAAAAUCCAGCUGCUCAUCUCCAUAUCCACCGCGCACAGCAGCUUCCUAAACAAAAAAUAAUGAAAGAGCUGCUUUAUAGAAUGUAGAGUACCUCUGGCGGACCAGGUCUGCAGCAGGAAGUCCAACCCCGAGAGCCUGUCCAGUUAAACGCUAAAGCUUAGGCAGCGGUCUGCACCUUGCACCACUCAAGAUCCAGUCCCUUCGCAGCAGAGAAAGCCACUCCUGAGUACGAAUAUCGAUCUACUACCAACGUUAUUCCAGCCAUCAAUUUCAUUUCCAUCUGCAGUUUGUAAGAAAACAAGAUGUGCUGUUCUCAAAAACUAGUCAAGAAAGUCACACCUCUUCUCGCAGCCGUUUGCUGAAAACAAAAGAUGAACAGCACGAUCAUCAAGCUCAGCCCCCAAGGAAGCCGAAAUCGAGCUACCGAUGGCCGUUGUCCUGGAAACCGCCAAGCCUCCGCCUUCAGCCCUUCAAAAACUCAACCAGCCAGUGACACUGAGAGCUCUUCCCGCUUCUGUCCAGACCCUCCAGGACAAUGAGCGUCCCGCGCUUCUCUGCUCCCACUGCAAGCUGCAUUGAAGUAACGGCUUGGAGGCACUCCUCCAUCAAGUCGACAUGGCCCUGCUUCUGCUUCAUCAACCAUUCCCCCAUUCCCUGUCGUUGAGGUUCCAUAACAGGCGCAUGACUGAGCAGCUCCAGAGCAAUGUUCAUCCACUGUUUACAAAUUACAGAUCGAUGUAGUUAGCUUGCUAGCUCAAACAAGCGACUUACCUUCAGAAAACUACACGACACGUUCGGUUCAAGCUGCAAAGAACGAAGAAAGAUCCUCAGUCACAAAACCAAAAGCUUUCUCAAAAUACCUUUUCAGCAGCAUGAACGUGUUCAGCAGCUCUGUCAUACUGCACGAGGCCCAGAUAGCAGAGACAUAAAGCACGCAAUGCCUUCGCUCUCAUGGUAGUUUCCUCUUCCGCAGGCAGGUAAUGCAUGGCAGCCUCGAACAAUGGCUGUAGGAAGAAAUCCGAGCCACUAUUACAAAAACACCCCAAAAGUCAGCUCUCAUAUAACGGUGAAAUAAAAGAAAUUCAGAGAAGCGCCAGACUUCUCUUGUGGAUGAAAACCUCUAAAGCAAAACGAAGAACGUUUUCUCUGAAACGGCGUCGUCUCUUUGAUCAAGAACGUCAAAGCGGACAGGCACACCUCCACUGCAGCCUUGUCAUAUGAUAUGAGAGCUACAAGCUCCUCCUCGGCCUCUUCGUAACGACUGAGCCCAAUCAAUGCCUUGAUUGAAGGCCAGGAACGACGUGCUAGGAUGAUCCGAGGAGCCUUUGAGAACCGAAACGCAGUUGAGAACUCCCUCGAAGUUCCCAUUCUGGAGCGGCAAUGUACCUGAGAAUUGUGAGCUCCUGGCUUGUCACAGUUUGCUCCUCGCCCUUGCUCUUGCACGAUCCCUUGAGCGCCUCGGAGCAAAUCUCAUAAGCUUACUCCAUGUACUUGACGGACUCAGCCUUUGAUUCCGACCCCUGGAGCGCCAGAAGUGAUUUCCCGUAGAGAAGAUAUAUGUCCACCCGCUCUUGAUACCUCUCCAGGGAGUCUUGGAGAAAACCACGGGCCCUCCCUAGCAUGCUGGAAGCUAGCGCCUUGUGUGACAUCUCCCACACUGUUCUUUCUUGACCGCACAAGGCACAGAUCAAACAUGACCUGCUGCUCUUCCCUGCUGCCGAUCGAUGAGAGACGAUCUCGGUGGCUCGCGGCCGCGAUUUGUAGUUCCGGAUCUUGUGCGAUCAAAGGAAGAAUGUAACCAUCUUGAGAGUGCUCGACCAACGACACCGGCCCACAAGAGCAUCUCGACAAAGGCGCGCGUGGUAUUCCCCUAAGGAAUCCACCACUGCGCGGCCUGGCGGCUGGUAGCUUAGCUUCAAGACUUGCUGAUUCCCAGAGAAGAAGCCUGCUAGGUGAUCGAUCCUCCGCAGCGGAUUCACAGUAGCCACAUCGCCGAUCCCUGCACUAAGAACCUCCGAGAUGAUCAUCCUGAGAGCAAGCGAUCCUCGGGUCCAGUCCUGCGAAGCCCUAGAAUAUUUUCCCGCUCAACUUUGAAUCCAUAAACCCUAACCCUGGGCGGUACACGUGCCAACACAUAAUUGGGUUUUUAUUCGGGCGAAUUAAAUAUUGCCACGUGUAUAAGUUUUGAUAGAGCACAUGACUGACAUGAGAACAUGUAAGAUUAUAGCGACUUGCGGAUUAAUGCGACAGCGAUGGAAGGUCUCUUGGUGGGACAUUGAUUUAAUCUUCUCUUCUUUUGAAAGGUACGCUCGUUACACGCAACUAGACUAAGUCGUGCUUUACUCUUCUUUUCUUCCGUUUCUAAUGGUGUCAUUUAAAAAAAUUAGAAAAACAAUGGAACACGCAUUCACGCGCAAACGUGUUGCAUCAUUUUCUAUGUUUGAACUGGCGAGAGAAGUUAUAUGCUUGUGUUGAGCAAAAUACAGAGCUUGUAUCCAUGGCCAACCUCGAUCCCACGGGUGUGCUGAGAGCGCUUGUUUCUGAAGCUGUUAGAGAAGUGAUUGGGCUUGCCAAGUCUGCCAUUCAUUGCAAGAAGAAGUGCAGCGAGUUGGAAGUUUCAUUGACCGAAG
Molecule: long non-coding RNA, 15000 nt
Filed under: Selaginella moellendorffii
Lineage: Eukaryota; Viridiplantae; Streptophyta; Lycopodiopsida; Selaginellales; Selaginellaceae
Description: long non-coding RNA (SMOE_LNC001295)
Source: RNAcentral